This 389-nucleotide ribosomal RNA is filed under the name uncultured bacterium. Its description in RNAcentral is "bacterial SSU rRNA". It matches the Rfam family "Bacterial small subunit ribosomal RNA", at positions 28 to 417 of the family's 1533-position model. The record is from RNAcentral.
GACGAACGCUGGCGGCGUGCUUAACACAUGCAAGUCGAGCGGUAAGGCCCUUUCGGGGGGUACACGAGCGGCGAACGGGUGAGUAACACGUGGGUGACCUGCCCUCAGCUCUGGGAUAAGCCUGGGAAACCGGGUCUAAUACUGGAUAUGACUCCAUGACGCAUGUUGUGGGGUGGAAAGCCUUGUGCGGCUGAGGAUGGGCCCGCGGCCUAUCAGCUUGUUGGUGGGGUGAUGGCCUACCAAGGCGACGACGGGUAGCCGGCUUGAGAGGGCGACCGGCCACACUGGGACUGAGACACGGCCCAGACUCCUACGGGAGGCAGCAGUGGGGAAUCUUGCGCAAUGGGCGAAAGCCUGACGCAGCGACGCCGCGUGAGGGAUGACGGCCU